UCGCCUGUUUUUCAAAAACAUCGCCUCUUGCUAAAUCGAAAAUAUAAGAGGUCCCGCCUGCCCUGUGACUAUAUGUUUAACGGCCGCGGUAUUUUGACCGUGCGAAGGUAGCGCAAUCACUUGUCUUUUAAAUGGGGACCUGUAUGAAUGGCACAACGAGGGCUUGACUGUCUCCUCUUUCAAGUCAAUGAAAUUGAUCUCCCCGUGCAGAAGCGGGGAUAAACUCAUAAGACGAGAAGACCCUAUGGAGCUUUAGACACUAAAGCAGGCCAGCAUUAAUACCCCAAAUAGGGGGCACGAAUAAACUGAAUUCUACCCUAAUGUCUUAGGUUGGGGCGACCGCGGAGCAACGAAAAACCCCCGCAAGGACUGAAUGUACUACAUUUAUAACCAAGAGCGACAGCUCUAAUUAACAGAUAUUUCUGACCAACAAGAUCCGGCAACGCCGAUCAAUGGACCAAGUUACCCUAGGGAUAACAGCGCAAUCUCCUCUUAGAGCCCAUAUCAACGAGGAGGUUUACGACCUCGAUGUUGGAUCAGGACAUCCUAAUGGUGCAGCCGCUAUUAAGGGUUCGUUUGUUCAACGAUUAAAGUCCUACGUGAUCUGAGUUCAGACCGG
This 619-nucleotide ribosomal RNA is filed under the name Epinephelus fasciatus (blacktip grouper). RNAcentral describes it as "partial 16S ribosomal RNA". It matches the Rfam family "Bacterial large subunit ribosomal RNA", at positions 1796 to 2619 of the family's 2925-position model. The record is from RNAcentral. Lineage: Eukaryota; Metazoa; Chordata; Actinopteri; Perciformes; Serranidae.